Molecule: unclassified non-coding RNA, 3142 nt
Filed under: Cimex lectularius (bed bug)
Lineage: Eukaryota; Metazoa; Arthropoda; Insecta; Hemiptera; Cimicidae
Description: mICAL-like protein 1, transcript variant X2
Source: RNAcentral
UUGAGCUUGGGUUCGCUUCAGUCGCACCUUUGCCCCAGCCGUGUAGUGACCGCGUUGCGUUAUCUCAUCAAACGGCGUUCGACGUGUAUCAGUUUAUUCUAGUGGUUUACUCGAGGCAUCGGCCUACACGACGUCAUCCCGAAGGAAAAUGGGGGAGAGACGUGGAACGAAAGCUCUGGAGAUGUGGUGCAAGAGGGUGACACAAGGGUACCCGGGGGUCAAGGUGGAGAACAUGACCACCUCUUGGAGGGACGGAAUGGCCUUCUGCGCCAUGAUCCACCACUUCAGGCCAGAUCUCAUUGAUUUCUCCAGUUUGGACAAAUCCGACAUCCUGAAAAAUAACGAGAUGGCGUUCAGGAUAGCAGAGAGGCACCUAGGCAUUCCAGCUUUACUAGAUGCAGAGGACAUGGCAGAGUACCCCGUACCUGACAGGCUGUCUAUCCUCACGUACCUUUCUCAGUUCUACCAAGCAUUCGCUUCUAACAAUGCAUCGCCAAUUAAAAAACAAUCGUCAGAAUCACCCGAUACUUCUUUGACGUCACUGACUCAAAGCAACGUACAGCAUGCCCCAAAAAUGGAAGGAACGCCACCGUGGAAGGAGCCUUGUGUCAUUUGUGACCACGCUGUAUUUUUAGCACAGAGACUCCGUGUAGAAGGGAAAUUGUACCAUAGAACAUGUUUUCGUUGCGCACGUUGUAAUGCACAAUUGAGCACCGCCGACUAUUACGAAACCCACGACGGUCAGUACUGCUGCGAGACUUGUCCGGAUGAAGACAUGGAACACUCCGCAGAGCCGCCGAUCGUCAUUCCAAGCAUCCGAGAAGAAGAACAGAUCGAGCAGGUCAUAAAUCUUACAAGGCCCCAGUCUAUCGAACCGACUCCUUCCCAAAAAUCUUCAUUAGUCGCUAUGAGGAAAAUGUUGUUUGAUUCCUACAAUAAAGACACCGACGACGCCAAGUUGAACCGGUGUGAGAACAAAACCACAGAUGAUGUAAAUAGCAUAGAAGAUAGUAAGAAUGAUCUCUCUAAUAACGAUGAUUCUAGUUCACAAAAUCAGUUCAGAAAAAAUAGUGAAGAAAGUGUACAUACAAACGUAGAUUGUAAGAAUGAAGAUUCUCCAUUGUGUGUUGAAUUAAAUCAUACCGAUAGUAAGGUUAACGAUAGGAAUAGUUUAGAUAACAAUGUGAAUAUUUUGGUAGAUAAAGUUAUAUGUUCAGACGUAGAAAUCGAUUCGGAUAAAGUAGUCACCGAAUCUGAUGAUAAGGUAGAUUUAAAAGAAACUUUAGAAGAUAAACCCACUUCUUUAGGUGAUAACAAGUCAUUGACUGUACAUACUGAUGAUUUAAAAAUCAAAAGCGACGAUACAGAAACACAAGAAAACCAUAAAAUUAUUGAGGCGAUAAAUGUAUCCAUAAACGUCGAGGAAAAUGUAAGCUCAUUCACUUCGAAAUCACCGACAGUGGAAAUAGUGAAAGAGCCGGCUGAAGAUAAAUUGAGAGGAAAAGAAUCUGAUUAUCCGAGCGGUUUCAAUCCGUUCGGAGACGAUGAGGAUGAAGAAGAAAAAUCAGUUGAAAAUUCAAAGACGAGUACAAACCCGUUUGACUCUGACACUGAAGAUGAAGAAAUUAAAUCAAAAUCUCCAGAAAAACUGGCCGAAGCCAUUUCACCAAUCCACAAAGCAUCAUCUCAAAACCCGUUUGGGUCAGAUGAAGAAGACGAUACCCAAAUUCCAGUGCCAUUGCCAAGAAGAAAUACUCACUCUUCGCCAGUGCCAUUUCCUAGAACUAAAUGGAGAGGAAGUCAGAGAUCUUUAUGUUCUAUGUCUUCUAUGGGAUCUCAUACUUCACCGAGGAAGAAGAGGCCUGCACCUCCACCUCCUGUAUCGCCCAGUAUUUCAUUAACUAGUCCUAGGUCGAGGAAAACCAAAAGAGCUCCUUUGCCUCCUAGUUUAGGUUCAUCGAGACUCUCGCUGUCUACAGAAGUUUCUUCUAAGGCAUCCGAAGAUUCACAAUCCAUUUUAAGCAGCGAUCAAAACUCAGUCAAAGGAAUCCAGGAUGACGAGAUCACCACAGAAAUUUCCAACAUCGCCGAGAAGAUAUCGGCUAUGGCAGACGCACAAAAUAAAGAAAACGAAGAGAGUAAAAGAAAAUCCACAGAUGAGCCUUUGGAAUCGGGCGAUAUGAAAUGUACAUUAGAUGAAUCUGUGACAUCUGAGGUCGAAGAAAAUACGGCGUUCGACUCGAAGAAAAUUAUUAUACCACAAACACCUCCUCCCAAACCCAGAAGACUAGAAAUAUCUUCUAACGAGGUAACAUUGAGCAGCAUAUCGCCCACUCCUUCAGCAUCAACGUCUAACGUCGACAGCCUGACUUAUCAAGAAGACAUUAAUUCCCCAACAGAAAAACAAAGUAAAGACUUUGCCAACUUACAUCAGAAGAUAUCAGAAGAGAGAGGGGCAACAUUCACAACGCCUAAUAAAAGCACGCAUGGUCAGUGGCGAAGGAAGAAAGCACCAGCGCCGCCUCUGCCCCUGCCAAAGAGGCGGACGGUCAAACCGAUGCCCAUUCAAAACAUAAAGCAAGAGCUGAAAGACAUUGAAAUAAAACAGCAAGGUCUUGAAAGACAAGGAGUAGCUCUCGAAAACAAAAUCAGGGAUAAGUUUGACACAGAAGAAAGUAUAUCUCCUUACGUGGAAGAAUUAGUCCUCCAGCUGUUCGAACUAGUCAAUGAAAAGAACGAAUUGUUUAGGAAACAAGCCGAGUUGAUGUAUUUGAGGCGUCAGCAUAACCUAGAAGAAGAGCACGCCGAGCUAGAAUAUCAAAUCAGGUGCCUUAUGGCGAGGCCUGAAGUCAACAAAACUGAUUCGGACAAAGAAACCGAAGAACAAUUAAUUCAGAGGCUAGUCGAAGUGGUAGAAAGGAGGGAUGCGAUCGUUCAGUGUCUAGAAAUGGACAGACUGCGCGAAGCCGAAGAGGAUAAAAGCAUCAGCUUAUCCCUAGGUAUAUUCACUCAAAGUUUAAUUGCUCCUCUUUAAGCAUGUGUAUUAACCGUUUAUGACGUCAUAAAAUGGCAAUUAUAAUUCAUCGACAAUAUGAGAUAUCGGCCAAGAGGUCCAAUCGAAGCCGAUUAAAAAGCAGAAAAA